RNAcentral lists this ribosomal RNA (433 nucleotides) under uncultured bacterium. RNAcentral describes it as "partial 16S ribosomal RNA". It matches the Rfam family "Bacterial small subunit ribosomal RNA", at positions 29 to 507 of the family's 1533-position model. The record is from RNAcentral.
AACGAACGCUGGCGGCAUGCCUAACACAUGCAAGUCGAACGAGACCACCGGAACUAGUGGCGCACAGGUGCGUAGCGCGUGGGAACCUGCACUUAGAUUCGGAAUAACACCCCUUCGGGGGUGCUAAUAUAGGGUAAUGUACUCGAACAACAGAUUCGUCGCCCUUGGAUGAGCCGGCGUUGUUUUAACCUGUUGGUAUUGUAAAAGCCUACCAAGGCGACGCUCCAUAGCUGGUCUGAGAGGAUGAGCAGCCACACUUGGGCGGGGACGCGGUGCAGACUCCUGCGGGAGGGGGGAGUGGGGAAUAUAGGAAAAUGGGCGAGAGGCUGAUCCAGCAAUGCCGCGUGAGUGAUGAAGUCCUUAGGGUUGUAAAGCUCUUUUACCCGGGAUGAUAAUGACAGUACCGGGAGAAUAAGCUCCGGCUAACUCCGUG